ACGACUCUCGGCAACGGAUAUCUUGGCUCUCGCAUCGAUGAAGAACGUAGCGAAAUGCGAUACUUGGUGUGAAUUGCAGAAUCCCGCGAACCAUCGAGUCUUCGAACGCAAGUUGCGCCCGAGGCCACUCGGCCGAGGGCACGCCUGCCUGGGCGUCACGC
Molecule: ribosomal RNA, 161 nt
Filed under: Hordeum marinum subsp. marinum
Lineage: Eukaryota; Viridiplantae; Streptophyta; Magnoliopsida; Poales; Poaceae
Description: 5.8S ribosomal RNA
Rfam family: 5.8S ribosomal RNA
About the family: 5.8S ribosomal RNA (5.8S rRNA) is a component of the large subunit of the eukaryotic ribosome.
Source: RNAcentral